This 73-nucleotide transfer RNA is filed under the name Thermoleophilaceae bacterium. Its description in RNAcentral is "tRNA-His". It matches the Rfam family "tRNA". Rfam says of the family: Transfer RNA (tRNA) molecules are approximately 80 nucleotides in length. The record is from RNAcentral. RNAcentral also lists the same sequence under 2 other names. Lineage: Bacteria; Bacillati; Actinomycetota; Thermoleophilia; Thermoleophilales; Thermoleophilaceae.
GUGGGCGUAGCUCAGCAGGUAGAGCUCCUGGUUGUGGUCCAGGCGGUCGCGGGUUCGAGUCCCGUCGCUCACC